RNAcentral lists this non-coding RNA (20 nucleotides) under Arabidopsis thaliana (thale cress). RNAcentral also lists the same sequence under 2 other names. Lineage: Eukaryota; Viridiplantae; Streptophyta; Magnoliopsida; Brassicales; Brassicaceae. The record is from RNAcentral.
UGAUCCUUCGAUGUCGGCUC